AGCAACGCCGCGUGAGGGAUGAAGGCCUCUGGGCUGUAAACCUCUUUUCUCAGGGAAGAAGAGCUGACGGUACUUGACGAAUAAGCCACGGCUAAUUCCGUGCCAGCAGCCGCGGUAAUACCGGAGUGGCAAGCGUUAUCCGGAAUUAUUGGGCGUAAAGCGUCCGCAGGCGGCCUUGUAAGUCUGUCGUUAAAGCGUGGAGCUCAACUCCAUUUAAGCGAUGGAAACUGUGAGGCUAGAGUGUGGUAGGGGCAGAGGGAAUUCCCGGUGUAACGGUGAAAUGCUUACAUAUCGGGAAGAACACCAGUGGCGAAUGCGCUCUGCUGGGCCAUAACUGACGCUCAUGGACGAAAGCCACGGGAGCGAAAGGGAUUAGAUACCCCUGUAGUCCUGGCCGUAAACCAUGAACACUACGUGUCGGGGGAAUCGACCCCCUCGGUGUCGUAGCCAACGCGUUAAGUGUUCCGCCUGGGGAGUACGCACGCAAGUGUGAAACUCAAAGGAAAUUGACGG
This 513-nucleotide ribosomal RNA is filed under the name uncultured cyanobacterium. RNAcentral describes it as "bacterial SSU rRNA". It matches the Rfam family "Bacterial small subunit ribosomal RNA", at positions 390 to 916 of the family's 1533-position model. Lineage: Bacteria; Bacillati; Cyanobacteriota. The record is from RNAcentral.